AUGCCGAUCCUCUGCCAGAUUUUUCGCCUCCUCCGACCUGGCGUCGCCACCUUUCAUGGCCCAAUGCUCCGCCUCUCCUCUACCUCGCGACCUCUCCUCUCUUUCACGGCCUCUGCGCCGCCUUGCUGGUCGCCACCACCGCUUGCACCACGAGUUUUCCCUCUCAUGGCUCCCGAUCUACUUGUCCGUCGUAUUUCCCGAUUUCCUCCAGGAUCUCGGAGCAUGUCCAGCAACAGUGGACUUGAAGACAAGCGAUUGCUCAUCUCUUCUGCCAACUAUCAUUCUGUCAUCAGCCAAGGCACGAAAAAUGUAGAGACGAGUGGCACAACCUUGGAAGUUAUAGAUGAAAACGGAAGGAGUGCAACCAAGGAUACAAAGAGCGCAUUGAUAGCAAGCGGUGACAAAGUAUUCCCCAUGGAAUUGCUUCCAAAAAGCACACACCGUGAUGGUUCUAUAUACAGAAGCACUCAUGCGUGGAAAAAGAACUAUGCUGUUGAUGACCGUAGUGAGACUCGGUUGGCAGAUCCCAAAGAUUGCGUCUUCCGCAACGGAAAAUGCAAGCGGCAUAAUCCUAGUCGCGUCUUACAAUUUUUCUCAUUAAAGUUGGCUGAACUUACUGUGGAUGUUGGCCCAGUAGAGUUGUAUGGAUACAUAGCAGUGCGGGAUUGUCUGGAUACAUUGCUUAAUUAUGUUGUCAAUAUAAGCAGGGAUGAUCCUGUCAUCGUGAAACAGGGUUCUCUCAUCAACAUGGCUGGCCCUAAGCGAGGCAUAGAUAUGUAUUGCGCUGUUCUAGUGGAAUUUGACAUUAGGAUCAAGGCAGGCAAAGCAGAAAGGGAUGAUCACCAGCUGAUUGAUGGUGUAUCAGGCAUAGCUGACCUGUGGGGAGUAUGGAAUCAAGCAUUCACAAACCGCAUCUAUGGUGACUGUGGCGCAGUUGACAUAACCGUAGCACGUAUUGAUGGGGCAGUCAUGGCGAAUGUAGAAGUUGCCGUGUCAGAAGUGCAGAGCAGUUUUGAGCUGUGCUUCAGUUGUUUUAUCGGUGGUUAUAACGAAGAAAUCCGGCUGUUCGAUGGUGCAAUUGGCGAGUCACGCCUCUUAAAGAGGUCUGUGGUUGCUGUAGCGGAUGGUUCCACUCUGGAUUUGAAGUUCAAGGUGGCCUCGGGGCCAUCCGGUUCAGCGGAGCACUGUUGUUCCUUCAAGGCGGACACACAUGGACUUGACACUCACCAGAUAAAGACUGAAUUCGGGUUGAUGUCAGUGAAGGUGACUUGGUCGACUCUGCUUUCCUCCCAGUAG
RNAcentral lists this ribosomal RNA (1296 nucleotides) under Triticum aestivum (bread wheat). RNAcentral describes it as "partial small subunit ribosomal RNA". The record is from RNAcentral. Lineage: Eukaryota; Viridiplantae; Streptophyta; Magnoliopsida; Poales; Poaceae.